UACGUAGGUCCCGAGCGUUGUCCGGAUUUAUUGGGCGUAAAGCGAGCGCAGGUGGUUUAUUAAGUCUGGUGUAAAAGGCAGUGGCUCAACCAUUGUAUGCAUUGGAAACUGGUAGACUAGAGUGCAGGAGAGGAGAGUGGAAUCCCAUGUGUAGCGGUGAAAUGCGUAGAUAUAUGGAGGAACACCGGUGGCGAAAGCGGCUCUCUGGUCUGUAACUGACGCUGAGGUUCGAAAGCGUCGGUAGCAAACAGG
This 252-nucleotide ribosomal RNA is filed under the name uncultured bacterium. Its description in RNAcentral is "partial 16S ribosomal RNA". It matches the Rfam family "Bacterial small subunit ribosomal RNA", at positions 524 to 776 of the family's 1533-position model. The record is from RNAcentral.